GAAUUUCUGGAUUGACAGUAGAAAAAGUAGCUGAUUUAUUAAACUUGCAUGAAUAUAGCUUUUGUACCUUUGAUAAUUUUAUUAUGUGUGAAUGCUUUUGAUAUAUAGUAACAAGUAUCCUAGUCUAAAAAUUCAAAAUUUAAUGUAUUUUGUUUAUAAUUUAUUUUAAUUGUAAAAAUAGUUAAUGAAAAUGAUCCCUUCACAUAAAUUGCCGACAUAUGAUAAUAGUUGGUCAAUAUUAGAACAAAUAUUUGUAGUGAAAUGUAAAUUUAGAAAUUAUUGAGUGCAUUGAUUAUUGGAAUCAUUGAUUAUUGUGAGGUCCGAUAAAUGUGAUUGCAAAAUUUUUGGAAGUAAAAUCACCACUGAAAUUAAUAAUAUGAUAUAAAAAUAAGAAGAUGUGGUAUGAUUGCCAAUGAGACACCUCUCCACAAGAGACCAAAUUAAGAUGGUACAUAACACUGCAGGGAGAUAACUCUGCAAAAUCAUCUGAAUGUUUUAAUCGCAUUCUAUUGUUAAGAAAAUAUGAAGCUUCUCAAUGGUCAAAAUCAGUGUUUGUCAAACUGCUAUAUAUCCAACUAAUUUUUCUGACAAUGUGUCUGGUUCAAGUCUUUUGAAAACUUUAUAUUUUUGUCAAAGGGUCAAAGUAUUAGAUAUUUUGUCAAAAUUUUAUGAAAAUUAAACAAGCUAAAUUAAUUUUAGUCAAGGUGUUUGGUACUACCUUAUAUGACACAGAAACUGUUAUUGUGAAACCUAAUAGUCACAUUUUCACAAUAAUUUCUGAAUUUACAGUUUGUGUAAGAAGAAUCAUUGUGAUAUUUUUUAAAAUAAAAUGAUAAGAAAACAUGUUUAUUGAAAUUGCUAGUUGUUAAUGUUUGCUUGUCACAAUUUUGCCAUUAUCUGGUGACCAGAAU
This 911-nucleotide long non-coding RNA is filed under the name Mytilus galloprovincialis (Mediterranean mussel). Lineage: Eukaryota; Metazoa; Mollusca; Bivalvia; Mytilida; Mytilidae. The record is from RNAcentral.